UCGCAUGAAAUUCAUUGUGAUGCUGAAGAUAAAUUUUCAAAUUCACUCAUCACAUUCAAUCUCUCUCUAAUUAACAUUCAAUUAUUCAAUUUUACACCCAUUUUUAGUUCCAGUGAAUCUGGUUCCAGAUUUCCUCCAAAUCUGGUGAAAAUUUGGAGACGAGUUUUCAUGUUGCUUCCACCAAAUCAAUUCGUCAGCAAUUUGUUCUUCGAUUCUUAUUCCAAUUCAAGCAAAUUUCUUAAGUUUCUGCAAUUUUAGUGAACCCAUACAUAUUGAAGACGAUUCUGCAAUGUAGUUCGAAUUGAAGACAAUAUGAGAUGCAAUUUGAUUCUCAGUUUGAUUUGGAUGUUUUUCCAUAAGGUUUAUGUAUUAAAUAUUGCAGAUCACCUAAUUGUUAUUUGCAUUCAUUUAUAUUUGAACUAGUUCACAUUCUGUUUUAUCAUGUGAUCCGGCGUGGCUCGACGAUAUUCGACCAAAGGUUCAACAAGUGAUUCUGCAAGCCAUUUGGUGUCCAUGAGAGAAAAGGCUAUAAAGUUGAACAACAAACCAUUACUUCGAUGUAAAAAUUGUGGAGAAUUGGGUCACCUGACUCUAGGAACUCUGGCCGAUAAAUUUACUACAUGAAUUUCGUAUGUAAUUGUGUGAAUAGCUUUGGAGUGUAUUGUUGAUUGGAAUCCAUGGAUUUCGUGAAUUUCAUUAUGCAAGUUGAGAUGUAAUUGAACUCCAUGAAUUUUGAUCUAUAAUUGAACUCAAUGAAUUUAA
Molecule: long non-coding RNA, 762 nt
Organism: Salvia hispanica
Lineage: Eukaryota; Viridiplantae; Streptophyta; Magnoliopsida; Lamiales; Lamiaceae
Source: RefSeq, a predicted model, not a curated record